RNAcentral lists this ribosomal RNA (252 nucleotides) under uncultured prokaryote. RNAcentral describes it as "partial 16S rRNA". It matches the Rfam family "Archaeal small subunit ribosomal RNA", at positions 475 to 726 of the family's 1478-position model. The record is from RNAcentral.
ACCGGCAGCUCAAGUGGUGGCCAUUUUUAUUGGGCCUAAAGCGUUCGUAGCCGGUUUGAUAAGUCUCUGGUGAAAUCCCGCAGCCUAACUGUGGGACUUGCUGGAGAUACUAUUAGACUUGAGGUCGGGAGAGGUUAGGGGUACUCCGAGGGUCGGGGUGAAAUCCUCUAAUCCUGGGAGGACCACCUGUGGCGAAGGCGCCUCACCGGAACGAAUCUGACCGUGAGUAACGAAAGCUAGGGGCGCGAACCG